GACAGCAGCAGCCGCGGUAAUACGUAGGUCCCGAGCGUUGUCCGGAUUUAUUGGGCGUAAAGCGAGCGCAGGCGGUUAGAUAAGUCUGAAGUCAAAGGCUGUGGCUUAACCAUAGUACGCUUUGGAAACUGUUUAACUUGAGUGCAAGAGGGGAGAGUGGAAUUCCAUGUGUAGCGGUGAAAUGCGUAGAUAUAUGGAGGAACACCGGAGGCGAAAGCGGCUCUCUGGCUUGUAACUGACGCUGAGGCACGAAAGCGUGGGGAGCAAACAGGAUUAGAUACCCCCGUAGUCCCUGUCUCUUAUACA
This 306-nucleotide ribosomal RNA is filed under the name uncultured bacterium. RNAcentral's name for it is "partial 16S ribosomal RNA". It matches the Rfam family "Bacterial small subunit ribosomal RNA", at positions 505 to 808 of the family's 1533-position model. The record is from RNAcentral.